This 459-nucleotide ribosomal RNA is filed under the name uncultured bacterium. Its description in RNAcentral is "partial 16S ribosomal RNA". It matches the Rfam family "Bacterial small subunit ribosomal RNA", at positions 338 to 795 of the family's 1533-position model. The record is from RNAcentral.
CCUACGGGAGGCAGCAGUGAGGAAUAUUGGUCAAUGGGCGCGAGCCUAAACCAGCCAAGUCGCGUGAGGGAAGACGGUCCUAUGGAUUGUAAACCUCUUUUGUCGGGGAGCAAAAGACGCCACGCGUCGCGUUCCGAGAGUACACGAAGAAACAGCAUCGGCAAACACCGUGCCAGCAGCCGCGGUAAUACGGAGGAUGCGAGGGUUAUCCGGAUUUAUUAGGGUAAAGGGGUGCGCAGUGGGAAGAUAAAGUCAGCGGGAAAAUUCGGAGGCUCAACCUCUUCGAGCCGUUGAAACUGGUUUGCUUGAGUGAGCGAGAAGUAAGCGGAAUGCGUGGUGUAGCGGUGAAAUGCAUAGAUAUCACGAAGAACUCCGAUUGCGAAGGCAGCAUACCGGCGCUCAACUGACGCUGAGGCACGAAGGUGUGGGUAUCGAACAGGAUUAGAUACCCGAGUAGUC